GUGGCAUUCGUCUAACGGCAGGACGCAAGCUUGUGGUGCUUGAGAUGUCGGGUUCGAUUCCCGCAUGCCGCCCGA
RNAcentral lists this transfer RNA (75 nucleotides) under Planctomycetota bacterium. RNAcentral's name for it is "Planctomycetes bacterium tRNA-His". It matches the Rfam family "tRNA". From Rfam's summary of the family: Transfer RNA (tRNA) molecules are approximately 80 nucleotides in length. Their secondary structure includes four short double-helical elements and three loops (D, anti-codon, and T loops). The record is from RNAcentral. Lineage: Bacteria; Pseudomonadati; Planctomycetota.